CCUACGGGAGGCAGCAGUGGGGAAUCUUGCGCAAUGGGCGAAAGCCUGACGCAGCAACGCCGCGUGCGGGAUGAAGGCCUUCGGGUUGUAAACCGCUUUCAGCAGGGAAGAAAUUGACGGUACCUGCAGAAGAAGCCCCGGCCAACUACGUGCCAGCAGUCGCGGUAACACGUAGGGGGCGAGCGUUGUCCGGAUUUAUUGGGCGUAAAGAGCUCGUAGGCGGUUCGGUAAGUCGGGUGUGAAACCUCCAGGCUCAACCUGGAGACGCCACCUGAUACUGCUGUGACUAGAGUCCGGUAGGGGAGUGUGGAACUCCUGGUGUAGCGGUGAAAUGCGCAGAUAUCAGGAAGAACACCAGCGGCGAAGGCGGCACUCUGGGCCGGUACUGACGCUGAGGAGCGAAAGCGUGGGUAGCAAACAGGAUUAGAUACCCUGGUAGUCCACGCCGUAAACGUUGGGCACUAGGUGUGGGUCUCAACCAACGAGAUCCGUGCCGCAGCUAACGCAUUAAGUGCCCCGCCUGGGGAGUACGGCCGCAAGGCUAAAACUCAAAGGAAUUGACGG
RNAcentral lists this ribosomal RNA (564 nucleotides) under uncultured bacterium. RNAcentral's name for it is "bacterial SSU rRNA". It matches the Rfam family "Bacterial small subunit ribosomal RNA", at positions 338 to 916 of the family's 1533-position model. The record is from RNAcentral.